GCGCUUGUGGUUUAGAGGUAGAAUGCAUCGUUGCCAUCGAUGCGACCCGGGUUCAAUUCCCGGCAGGCGCA
This is a non-coding RNA of Oxytricha trifallax, 71 nucleotides long. NCBI's taxonomy places the organism in Eukaryota, Ciliophora, Spirotrichea, Sporadotrichida, Oxytrichidae. The record is from Rfam.